RNAcentral lists this ribosomal RNA (815 nucleotides) under uncultured bacterium. RNAcentral's name for it is "bacterial SSU rRNA". It matches the Rfam family "Bacterial small subunit ribosomal RNA", at positions 8 to 822 of the family's 1533-position model. The record is from RNAcentral.
AGAGUUUGAUCCUGGCUCAGGAUGAACGCUGGCGGCGUGCCUAACACAUGCAAGUCGAACGGAACUUUAACGGAACAAGGCUUCGGCCAAGUGAAAUUAAAGUUUAGUGGCGGACGGGUGAGUAACGCGUGAGUAACCUGCCUUUCACAGGGGGAUAACGUUUGGAAACGAACGCUAAUACCGCAUAACACAGCAGAGUCGCAUGGCUCAGCUAUCAAAGAUUUUAUCGGUGAAAGAUGGACUCGCGUCCGAUUAGGUAGUAGGCGGGGUAACGGCCCACCUAGCCUUCGAUCGGUAGGGGUUCUGAGAGGAAGGUCCCCCACAUUGGAACUGAGACACGGUCCAAACUCCUACGGGAGGCAGCAGUGAGGAAUAUUGGUCAAUGGGGGAAACCCUGAUGCAGCAACGCCGCGUGAGUGAUGAAGGUCUUCGGAUUGUAAAGCUCUGUCUUUAGGGACGAUAAUGACGGUACCUAAGGAGGAAGCCACGGCUAACUACGUGCCAGCAGCCGCGGUAAUACGUAGGUGGCAAGCGUUAUCCGGAAUUAUUGGGCGUAAAGAGUGCGUAGGUGGUUAUCUAAGCGUAAGGUUUAAGCGUGCAGCCCAACUGCAUCUCGCCUUGCGAACUGGACUACUUGAGUGCAGGAGGGGAAAGCGGAAUUCCUAGUGUAGCGGUGAAAUGCGUAGAUAUUAGGAGGAACACCAGCGGCGAAGGCGGCUUUCUGGACUGUAACUGACACUGAGGCACGAAAGCGUGGGGAGCAAACAGGAUUAGAUACCCUGGUAAUCCACGCCGUAAACGAUGAAUACUAGGUG